CUCUCUCUAUCUCUCUCUCUCUCUCUCUCCCUUACCUCGUUCUCUCACUCAUAUUCUCUACCCAAUUUUAUCUGGUUUGUUUAUAUUUGAAAUUUUUUUAGGGUAUGGGUAUGGCUGAUUUAGGAAUGGGUUUAGUUUUGGGUAUUGGUAUUUAAUUUAAUUCCUUUUGCUUUGAGAUUUAUGAAAUUCAAUAUGCCAUUAGUUUUGGAUUUAGUUUUGGGUAUUUUUGUUGCUUCUUUAGUGCCCAGGGGAGCUGCAGUGUUAGGGGAGAUUAAGUGUUGGGGGAAACUGGGUUCUGAGCCUUCUAAUGCACAUAUUGUUUUGGCACAGAUUUGGCAGCUACUGAAAGAGUUGGGUGGUGAAUUCUUACAGUUGAGAUGAUCUAUAAGCAGUAGUUCGAUAAUGGGAAAGCAAAAAAUGUACAGAUGUCCUAUCUAGAGUCCCAUGCAGGUGCAGAACUAGAACUUCAAGAUCAGAGGGGUUGAAAUGAAGGUGACAAUGGAAAACUUUUAAAUGUAAAGGGGGGAAUGGAAAUUUUCUGGGUUCAAGGGGGCCAAAGGUGAAUGUAAUAAUGGAAUUUGAAAAUUUUCAAGAGCCAGGUUAAGAUGUUUAAGGGGCUAAAAGUGAGGAUAAUGGUGUAUUUUCAUCUGUGCGGUUAAUGGUGUAUUAAAAUUAAAAGUCAACAAUUGAACAUUUAAAUAUUUAUGAAUUUUGGUUAUGAAUUUUUGCUAA
Molecule: long non-coding RNA, 732 nt
Organism: Hevea brasiliensis (rubber tree)
Lineage: Eukaryota; Viridiplantae; Streptophyta; Magnoliopsida; Malpighiales; Euphorbiaceae
Exons: 2
Source: RefSeq, a predicted model, not a curated record